UCCCCUUGCGAGUAGAAACCACCUUAAGCAAGUGUGCCAAACUCGCCCUUCCUCCCCCUUCCCUGCCAUGCCGGGACGGGACGUUCCUCUUCCGCCAGAUGGCCAACAGGGACCUGAGCAGAGGACGGCUGGGCUAGAGCAGACUGUUUCCGUCGGGCAUGGGUGCCAGCAGUGUUCUGCACAGCGCCAGCGCUCUGCUCUCCCGGCUUGGGGCGGGGCACCUCGGGGAGCUGAUCCUGUAGCCCAGGGCAGGCAGCGCUCCUGUCAGCCGUCCGACUCUCAGACCUGCAGGGCCCUGCUCUCAGUUUCCCAGUUCCUUGUCCCUCGGGGUGGGAGCUGUUUCCUAUGAAGCUGCUUUAGGGUUUUUUUAAAACCCCUUUUAGUAGUUAGCCAAUCUUUACCACAGUAAGCAACUGUUUCUGUCGUUUCUUGUUUACAUUUUCCCCUCACUGCACCCUGAAUGAUACAUCAGGUGAUCAAAAUGAACAGCCCCACGGCAGGGCAGAUGACAUCGUGUGCUCCUGAUGUCACACCCUGAGAGGACACACGACACGGGUAGUGCUCCAACCACCUGGAAUGCAAAACCUAAUCUAAUCAAGAGGGAACAUCCGAUAAACCCAAAAUGAGUAGCAGCAUUUAAAAGGGAUCUUAAUCUUCCAAAAUGUCAAUGUCGUAAGUGGCAAAGCUAUGGCAAUGUCCCAGAUUAAAGGAGACCAAAGGGACAGGACAGCUAACUAUUAACACCUGGUCCUUGACUGGAUCCAGAACUGGAGGGGAAAUGGCACAAAGGACGUUGUGAGGUUGGCUGAAACACAAACGGUGGGCUUCAGUACUGUGUUCAGUGUACUCAGUUAGAAUAUCCUUAUCCUUAGGAAAUCCCCACCGAAGUAUUAAAGGCCAUGAUACUGGUACAGAGACAGCACACGCAAGAACACGAAUGACAGGCUAAGCAGGGCAAAAUGUGAAUAGUUGAAUCUAAACGAAGGGUUUGGGGGCCUUGUAUGUAAAAUUCUUAUUCUUGUAAUUUUUCUGUAACUUUGAAAUUAUUUCCAAAUAAAAUUAACUUUUAAAGAAAAGGCAACAGGAUACAGUAGUGGUUCUCAGCCUUCACUGCUCUCUGGAAGCUCCCAAGGGACCCAGGCAUCUGUAGUUCCCAAAGUUCUCUAGGUGAUUCCGAUGUGCAGACAACGGUUGGGAAAGUAGCACAGCCUGAGGGCUCAUCCACUGAAUUCAGACCUAGAAAGUGGCUCUUUUGCCCUCUGAAGAAUAAGCACUGGGGACCAGAGUCUCAGGGUUAAUACAAACUCCUAGCCCACCAUUAAAGGGAGGAAGCUGCUCUUUCACCAGGCAAGCAGAGAGGAAUGAGUAAAGGGGUGUGUAGAAUUAGCGUCUUGGGCAAGUUCAAAGACUAGGCUAGGAAUUGGCACAUUUUCCCGAAGCAAUUUCCUACUCUAGAGGCUCAGUUCUGCCGUGCAGAAAACAUCAGUCCAGAUAUUGCUCACCCCAGGUCUAAUCUGUGACGGGGCAGACACAGAAUGGUACAAUAGAAAACCGGAAAGGGGAGGAAGAGACAGGACUAGGGGGAGAAGGCGCUAGUGAAAGUCGUGAGGACAAGCAAAGCAUCCCUGCCUGCUGUGCAACCUGUAGGGACAAGAGGGGGAUGGGUCAGGGGACCUAGCAAACCACCUGUAGUUCUCAGAAGCCAUGAAUGUUUUAGUUAACUUCCGCUUCGUGAAUAGGAGUUAGUUCUUACUCCUCUCUCAACACCUCCAUUUUCAGGCAGGACAGACCUGCAUAAUUUCCCCCAAAUGGACAGAUCCAAACGGAAUGUGAACCCAUACCCCUAGAUGUGGUCCUUACUUGCUCCCUAGCUCUAUUCCUAAUUGUUUCCUCAGCCGACUGAGCCAGAAACCUGGGCCUCAUGCUAGACUCCUUCCUCUCCCUUCUCUCUGUCCCACAUGCAACCAGUGAUGGAAUUCCACCAUCCCCCUUCCCACUGCCACCAACCGCUCUUCUGCUCUCCCCCACACCACUACAGUCCUCUCACUGAAGCCCAGUCAAGUCCCUCUAAUCAUCCUCCCUACCGGAGCCACAGGGACAUCCGUAACACGUCCACUGGCACCACACAUGGCUGCCUCCACUUUCCACUGGACCUCCACAGAAUGUAGUGGGACACCCCAGAGGACUUGGGCUUUGCCCCUUCAACUUCUUUUCCCAGCCCUGUAUUUUAAGCUCCGGGCACAGCGAGCUACUUAUAGCUCCCUGAACACUCUAGCCCAUCUCACACUCCUGUGUGCCCUCUCCAACAAAGCCUAUCUGAGUUCAGGCCUUUUCUCCAGGAAGUUGCCUCUGACCUCUCUGGGUACCUCCUCCGCACUCCCAUUCUUUUGUUACUACAAUCAUUGCCCUGUAUGGAAAUUAUCUGUUUCUGUCUAUGUCUCCUAUAACAGGACUCCACAUUAUCCUUAAAGGCCAGGAGAGCAUCAUCGCCAUAUGCCGGACUCAUGCACAUGCUUAAGUGUUCCAUAUUUGUAGGAUAUACUGGACUGAAAAGCAUCUGUGGUUUUCUAGAUCCCAAGGCCUUUAGAAUUUGGCAACUGAUAUAAUUAAAACACAUGCAAAUCUUGAUGAACUGUAGACAGCACCAACAUUUAAAACACUACACUGCUGCUUGGGAACUGUUCCGCCGGUGAUGAGGAGCUCAUAAGCAGGAUCUCUACUCCUUCUGCACAAUACGAUGCAUGCACACAACAUGCCCAGCAGCUGUGGGAAGAAAACAACAGGGGAAAAAAGAAGGCUGAAGGCUCUCUCAUAGCAAGUGUGUAUUUCUUGGUUGGCAAUGGAGUGGUUUCAAAGUUCCACAAUAACAACAGGAACAGAAGUAAUUUCUAAUGAAUACAUUAACUUUUUAGGAACCAACUUUUAGUUUCCCUGUCUCACACCUGAGAACAAUAGGUGAAGAGCAGAGACACAAGACUCUCCUGCCAUCCCCACUCUCAAUCAACAACAGUGCUCUAAAAAAGAACUUCCUGCAAUGAUGGAAACAUUCUAUCAAACUGAGCUGUCAAACCUAGCCACUAGCCACAAGGGGCUACUGGGCGCCUGAAAUGUAGCUAGUGCAACUGCCCAAUUAUGUUUCUUAUUUUACGCAAAUUAAUUUAAACUUGGGACACAUGUAACUGGCUAGUGGCUACCAUACUGGACAACAAAGGUCUAGUGAGUGGAAUGACCAAGACGAUGUGUAUUAAGGAAACUUACUGGUGGUCUUUUCAGACAUCUGGAUUUGGGGACACAGGCUUUAUUAACAAUCCACAAAAUUCAGUACAUGAAUAGCCCAAAAGCCCUAUGGUGGAAAACUAAUCUUGAUGCCAAAAAAAUGGUUUGAAGGUUUUUGUCUCUUUCAUAAUUAUUUACUAUUUUUGAAAUCCAGAUUUGGUUCUGUAUUACACACACAUUAUUUUUUAAAGGUCACUCUUCCUUCAUCAUUUUAUUUUAAUAAGCCCUAAUCCUUCUGUGGCAGCAAACUGGAAUUGUAAUAAAGUCAUGCCAUGUUAUUUUGAAUAAGCUAGAGGAUUACACUGGAUUAAAGAGAAAAUGAUUCUAGAAUUUUGACCUGGCUUCUUACAAAAUAUAAAUAGUAACCAAAGAGCUAAAUAAAAGUAAGUUAAUUUGCUGUUCUAACUUUUCAUUGGCAGUGAAAGGUCUCAGUUAUUUGAUUUUAAAAGGCAAGGCUUUCUGUACAUAUGGGGUCAUUCAAUUUCAACAAAAUGUACUGGAUCCAUAAACAAGCUCUCAAAGUUUGCAGUGGAAGAUUACUAAUGAGACACAAUACACAGAGAAUACGGAUGUCCUCAAACUGAAUUCUCCAUGGUAUAAAAGUCACACACUCCAAUUUCUGCCCUCAAUUAGCCCAUAUUCUUUCUACCCAUUCAGGAUAUAUUCUUGCUGCUUAAAUCCAUCAGUUUCAUUAUAUCAAUAUUUGCUAAGUGCAGUAACAGCACAAAGCACCUUGAAGACGUUUUAAAAGUGGAUAUUGUUAAAUUUCAGUAAAUAUCUUUAGCCAGGUCUGGACAUGUUUUGUAUCUAAUUCCUAUAGAAAUACAUUUCCAUUCACUGUACAUCAUCAAAAUAUUCUUAGAACAGCUAUAAAAUCAAACACAAUUAUGUUCCCAGGCAAUGUUAAAUUGAGCAAUAAAAAUGCUAAGCUCAGAAAUUACUGAUUUUCUGGAAAAAAAAUCUCUCUUCCUAUCCCACUUCCCUCACAUUCCUUUCAGUUGGUUAACUUCUACUGAAGGAGUCAGCAUUCUCAAAUGGGGUCUGAAAUAAGCAUCAUUUCUCUUCCUGACUUUUAUUUCAAUUAAGUCAACUUGUACCGAUUUUAAAACAAUUAAAUAAGCUUGAUAAAACCCUA
Callorhinus ursinus (northern fur seal) is the source of this 4411-nucleotide long non-coding RNA. RefSeq lists it as uncharacterized. NCBI's taxonomy places the organism in Eukaryota, Metazoa, Chordata, Mammalia, Carnivora, Otariidae. The record is from RefSeq and is a predicted model, not a curated record.